UGGGGUGUAGCUCAGUGGUAGAGUACUUGCCUGGUAUACACAAGUCCCUGGGUUCAAUUCCCAAUAACAUAA
Molecule: transfer RNA, 72 nt
Filed under: Fukomys damarensis (Damara mole-rat)
Lineage: Eukaryota; Metazoa; Chordata; Mammalia; Rodentia; Bathyergidae
Rfam family: tRNA
About the family: Transfer RNA (tRNA) molecules are approximately 80 nucleotides in length. Their secondary structure includes four short double-helical elements and three loops (D, anti-codon, and T loops). Further hydrogen bonds mediate the characteristic L-shaped molecular structure. tRNAs have two regions of fundamental functional importance: the anti-codon, which is responsible for specific mRNA codon recognition, and the 3' end, to which the tRNAs corresponding amino acid is attached (by aminoacyl-tRNA synthetases). tRNAs cope with the degeneracy of the genetic code in two manners: having more than one tRNA (with a specific anti-codon) for a particular amino acid; and 'wobble' base-pairing, i.e. permitting non-standard base-pairing at the 3rd anti-codon position.
Source: Rfam by way of RNAcentral